RNAcentral lists this long non-coding RNA (770 nucleotides) under Homo sapiens (human). RNAcentral's name for it is "HSALNT0309131". Lineage: Eukaryota; Metazoa; Chordata; Mammalia; Primates; Hominidae. The record is from RNAcentral.
GACGCAUUUGAGUAAAAGGAAAGGAGAUUUGGUGGGUGAAGCACAUCUGUGAUACACACAGCAGAGCGUGCCCCUGCCAAGAGCACCAAGGAUUGGGUGGAGCCGAGAGCUACGUUCAGACUCAAACCCCGUUGUGAUGAUCACUCUAAGUUUAAUAUACCUUCGGGAAUCAAAUUUCAUGGAUGCAUUUGAAGAAAAAGAAUACAAAAUUUGUCCAAAGGUGAACAGUUACUUAGAAUGAUAAAGGAAGCAAUCUAUUUUUAACAAGCCGAUCAAUAUCACAACCACCACAAAAUCUAGAAACAAAGGCCAGAAUCCUGCUAGGACAUCUCUGCCUGUGGAAGGAGGGCUGGAUGGCAUACUGGGAAUGGCUUUCUAGGAUGACUUCCUGUUGCUACAGACUACAAGAAGCAUUUCUGGCCUUGAUGUUGUCUGAAUGAAGAAGACAUAGGAGUUUCACCAAAGUAUAGCUCCCUGAAACCAGAUGGAUCAUGGCAGAUGAUAGUGGCUACUCUAAACUUGACCAAGUAGCUUCCACAAUUGAAGUCCCAAGCUGGAGCCUACAGGAAUGAGGAAGCAGGAAGGGCCAGAGUGAAGUGGAAACUUUGAACUUGAAGUUGGAAGACACUGGUACUCAUCUCUUCUAUUUGCUAGCUGUAUGAUCUUGGGCAACUUAUUUAAUUUAUCUUCCUCCAGUUUACUCAUUGAUUAAAUGAAGGUAACAAUUUUAUCUCAUAGGGAUAUGGGGAUGAUCGAGAGAGAUAAUAAAA